Molecule: long non-coding RNA, 295 nt
Organism: Tachysurus vachellii
Lineage: Eukaryota; Metazoa; Chordata; Actinopteri; Siluriformes; Bagridae
Exons: 3
Source: RefSeq, a predicted model, not a curated record
UAAUAGAUGUGAAGGAAUAUAUGAGUAAUAACAAUUUCUAUAGGUAAUCUUUCCUUCGGAAAGAAGAAGCCUUAUUUUGGAUCCCCUGGGAAAUGAUUCAAAGAAACUCCGACAGUGUUUGCAGUCCACAAGGGCCUUCAUCAGAAAACAAGGCUGCCAUAUAUCCAGGUGGGCAUCCAGCACAGAUGCACACAGUUGUCAGGAAGAUGCCACCUCAUGUGGGAUAUUUGUCCUGAAAAUAACCUAUCUGAGCUGUGCCACAACUGUGGGGAGAAGAGCAAUGGGCAAACAAAGA